GGCCCAUUUAGGCUUCCAUGCCCAUCCUACAAGAACCCCAACAAUAACCGCAAUCCACAAAGGAAUCAUAAACAUGACGAGCUCAAUCACGACAUCUCCAAAAGUGGGUCUCUUCAAAAUCUCUAACAAAAUCGACCACACAGCCAUUUACCCUUUCCCGAAACGAAAUAGCCGCAAACCAAGGAAUAUUCAGCAAUCCAAAUACAACCCAGAUAAAUAAAAGCAAAGAAAACCCAUAAAAAAAAAAAAAAGAAAAACCCUCGAUU
This 266-nucleotide unclassified non-coding RNA is filed under the name Hevea brasiliensis (rubber tree). The record is from RNAcentral. Lineage: Eukaryota; Viridiplantae; Streptophyta; Magnoliopsida; Malpighiales; Euphorbiaceae.